This 439-nucleotide ribosomal RNA is filed under the name Finegoldia magna. Its description in RNAcentral is "bacterial SSU rRNA". It matches the Rfam family "Bacterial small subunit ribosomal RNA", at positions 338 to 795 of the family's 1533-position model. Lineage: Bacteria; Bacillati; Bacillota; Tissierellia; Tissierellales; Peptoniphilaceae. The record is from RNAcentral.
CCUACGGGAGGCAGCAGUGGGGAAUAUUGCACAAUGGGGGAAACCCUGAUGCAGCGACGCCGCGUGAACGAAGAAGGUAUUCGUAUCGUAAAGUUCUGUCCUAUGGGAAGAUAAUGACAGUACCAUAGAAGAAAGCUCCGGCUAAAUACGUGCCAGCAGCCGCGGUAAUACGUAUGGAGCGAGCGUUGUCCGGAAUUAUUGGGCGUAAAGGGUACGCAGGCGGUUUAAUAAGUCGAAUGUUAAAGAUCGGGGCUCAACCCCGUAAAGCAUUGGAAACUGAUAAACUUGAGUAGUGGAGAGGAAAGUGGAAUUCCUAGUGUAGUGGUGAAAUACGUAGAUAUUAGGAGGAAUACCAGUAGCGAAGGCGACUUUCUGGACACAAACUGACGCUGAGGUACGAAAGCGUGGGGAGCAAACAGGAUUAGAUACCCUGGUAGUC